Molecule: ribosomal RNA, 253 nt
Filed under: uncultured bacterium
Lineage: Bacteria
Description: partial 16S ribosomal RNA
Rfam family: Bacterial small subunit ribosomal RNA
Source: RNAcentral
GACGAACCGUGCAAACGUUGUUCGGAAUCACUGGGCUUAAAGGGCGCGUAGGCGGCUUAUCAAGUCGGGGGUGAAAUCCAGCAGCUUAACUGUUGAAGUGCCUUCGAUACUGAUGAGCUAGAGGAAGGUAGGGGUGUGUGGAACUUCUGGUGGAGCGGUGAAAUGCGUUGAUAUCAGAAGGAACGCCGGUGGCGAAAGCGACGCACUGGACCUUUUCUGACGCUGAGGCGCGAAAGCUAGGGUAGCGAACGGG